Molecule: ribosomal RNA, 372 nt
Filed under: uncultured bacterium
Lineage: Bacteria
Description: bacterial SSU rRNA
Rfam family: Bacterial small subunit ribosomal RNA
Source: RNAcentral
ACACGUAGGGGGCGAGCGUUGUCCGGAUUUAUUGGGCGUAAAGGGUACGCAGGCGGCCAUAUAAGUCAGAUGUGAAAUCCAUAGGCUCAACCUAUGUAAGCAUUUGAAACUGUGUGGCUUGAGUUAAGGAGAGGAAAGUGGAAUUCCUGGUGUAGCGGUGAAAUGCGUGGAUAUCAGGAGGAAUAUCAGUGGCGAAGGCGACUUUCUGGUCUUAUACUGACGCUGAGGUACGAAAGCGUGGGGAGCAAACAGGAUUAGAUACCCUGGUAGUCCACGCCGUAAACGAUGAGUGCUAGGUGUCGGGGGGUAACCCUCGGUGCCGGAGUUAACACAUUAAGCACUCCGCCUGGGGAGUACGUGCGCAAGCAUGAA